GGCGAACGGGUGAGUAAUGCAUCGGAACAUGUCCAUGUCGUGGGGGAUAGCCCGGCGAAAGCCGGAUUAAUACCGCAUACGCCCGAGAGGGGAAAGUGGGGGACCGCAAGGCCUCACGCGAUUGGGUUGGCCGAUGUCCGAUUAGCUUGUUGGUGAGGUAAAGGCUUACCAAGGCGAUGAUCGGUAGCUGGUCUGAGAGGAUGAUCAGCCACACUGGGACUGAGACACGGCCCAGACUCCUACGGGAGGCAGCAGUGGGGAAUUUUGGACAAUGGGGGCAACCCUGAUCCAGCCAUUCCGCGUGAGUGAAGAAGGCCUUCGGGUUGUAAAGCUCUUUUGUCAGGAGCGAAACGGUACGGGUGAAUAUCCCGUGCUACUGACGGUACCGGAAGAAUAAGCACCGGCUAACUACGUGCCAGCAGCCGCGGUAAUACGUAGGGUGCGAGCGUUAAUCGGAAUUACUGGGCGUAAAGCGUGCGCAGGCGGUUGUGUAAGCCAGAUGUGAAAUCCCCGGGCUUAACCUGGGAAUGGCAUUUGGGACUGCACGGCUUGAGUAUGGCAGAGGGGACUAGAAUUCC
Molecule: ribosomal RNA, 578 nt
Filed under: uncultured beta proteobacterium
Lineage: Bacteria; Pseudomonadati; Pseudomonadota; Betaproteobacteria
Description: bacterial SSU rRNA
Rfam family: Bacterial small subunit ribosomal RNA
Source: RNAcentral